Molecule: ribosomal RNA, 1407 nt
Filed under: Triticum aestivum (bread wheat)
Lineage: Eukaryota; Viridiplantae; Streptophyta; Magnoliopsida; Poales; Poaceae
Description: partial small subunit ribosomal RNA
Source: RNAcentral
AUGGAGGAUGACCUUCCUCUCAAAAGAAAGAGACUGGAGGAGGACCAACGUAUGCUGCAGCGUAUACUUGACGGAGCCGACGACCCAACGGAUCUACCAUUACAACUCUUAAAGGACAUCACGAAUGAUUUCUCUGAAGGCAGAAAAAUCGGCCAGGGUGGAUCUGGAGCGGUUUACGAGGGUGUACUAGGAGAACUGAUUAUUGCCGUGAAGAGGAUCUAUGUAAACUUAGAUAAGCUUGAUGAUGAUGACAAGCAAUUUGGUCGUGAGUUUAGUAGCUUGUGCAACAUGAAUCAUCAAAAUGUAGUCCGGUAUCUUGGCUUCUGUUCUAACAUACAUCAGAAACAGAUAAGAAACUCUGUGUCAGGAGAAAUCACCUUGGCUAACGUGAGAGAAAGAUUGUUUUGUUUCGAGUACAUCAGCAAUGGAAGCCUGGAUAAGCAUAUUACCGAUGAAUUAAGAGGCUUUGAAUGGGAAACACGUUAUGAAUUAAUCAUCGGGAUUUGCAAGGGCCUGCGUUAUCUUCAUGAGGAAAAAAGGAUGAUUCACAUGGACCUUAAACCGGAAAAUAUAUUACUUGAUAAUCAAAAUUACAAAUAUAUAGUUCCAAAAAUCACGGAUUUUGGUCUAUCAAGACCAAAUAAAAACUCGCACACUGUAGGUCAACUUUACGGAACACGUGGAUACAUGGCUCCAGAAUACAGGGAAGGUAGCAAAACUACACCUGCGUGUGAUAUAUAUAGUUUGGGUGCCAUAAUCAGGGAAUUGGUAACAGGGUGUAUGGAAGUCCCUUGCAAAGAUAAUGUACUUCGAAGGUGGAGGCAUAGGUGGGGGAAGCCACCGACAUUAUUGCAAUACCAGCAAGUGACUAGAUGCAUUGAAAUAGCAGGAUUUUGCAGGGCAGAAAAACCAGAAGCUAGACCUUCUAUAUUGAAGAUAAUCAGCUUUCUGGGUGAAUCUGAAAGCACAUAUGGCCAGGUAAUCCCUUGUUUAGAUGAAGAUGACAUGCUUCGGAUUAAUCCGCUCGAACUACGGCUGCCUUCUGAGCUGAAGAACGAGAUAUCGCACUCAAUUGAGCUAACCAACGAUACAGUUAAUUGCAUUGCCUUCAACAUCCAACCGCCAAGCGUAAAGUACAUAUCGCAACCAGUAAAAGGCACUGUGCAAUCAAAAUCCAAGUGUUAUGUGAAGAUAACAGUGCAGCCACGAGAUGCUCGUGAACAUGACGAUACUGACAAGUUCAUCGUGCAAAGCAUGAAAUGGAGCGAGGGUCUUAUAGAAGAGGAUAUCACAGAAUGCAUAUCCCGUGCAAAGGCCGAGAAAGUUGUCGAUGAGGUGGAUUUGAUGGUUGUAAAUGAGCCCACGAGGCCCCAAGAGAAUUGCAGAGCAUGCUUGGAUACGUUUUAG